Molecule: ribosomal RNA, 673 nt
Filed under: Streptomyces sp.
Lineage: Bacteria; Bacillati; Actinomycetota; Actinomycetes; Kitasatosporales; Streptomycetaceae
Description: bacterial SSU rRNA
Rfam family: Bacterial small subunit ribosomal RNA
Source: RNAcentral
CGAACGCUGGCGGCGUGCUUAACACAUGCAAGUCGAACGAUGAAGCCUUUCGGGGUGGAUUAGUGGCGAACGGGUGAGUAACACGUGGGCAAUCUGCCCUUCACUCUGGGACAAGCCCUGGAAACGGGGUCUAAUACCGGAUAACACUCUGUCCCGCAUGGGACGGGGUUAAAAGCUCCGGCGGUGAAGGAUGAGCCCGCGGCCUAUCAGCUUGUUGGUGGGGUAAUGGCCUACCAAGGCGACGACGGGUAGCCGGCCUGAGAGGGCGACCGGCCACACUGGGACUGAGACACGGCCCAGACUCCUACGGGAGGCAGCAGUGGGGAAUAUUGCACAAUGGGCGAAAGCCUGAUGCAGCGACGCCGCGUGAGGGAUGACGGCCUUCGGGUUGUAAACCUCUUUCAGCAGGGAAGAAGCGAAAGUGACGGUACCUGCAGAAGAAGCGCCGGCUAACUACGUGCCAGCAGCCGCGGUAAUACGUAGGGCGCAAGCGUUGUCCGGAAUUAUUGGGCGUAAAGAGCUCGUAGGCGGCUUGUCACGUCGGAUGUGAAAGCCCGGGGCUUAACCCCGGGUCUGCAUUCGAUACGGGCUAGCUAGAGUGUGGUAGGGGAGAUCGGAAUUCCUGGUGUAGCGGUGAAAUGCGCAGAUAUCAGGAGGAACACCGGUGGCGAAG